GAUGAACGCUGGCGGCGUGCCUAAUACAUGCAAGUCGGGCGAAUGGAUUAAGAGCUUGCUCUUAUGAAGUUAGCGGCGGACGGGUGAGUAACACGUGGGUAACCUGCCCAUAAGACUGGGAUAACUCCGGGAAACUGGGGCUAAUACCGGAUAACAUUUUGAACCGCAUGGUUCGAAAUUGAAAGGCGGCUUCGGCUGUCACUUAUGGAUGGACCAGCGUGGCAUUGGCUAGUUGGUGAGGUAACGGCUCACCAAGGCAACGAGGCGAAGCCGACCUGAGAGGGUGAUCGGCCACACUGGGACUGAGACACGGCCAAGACUCCUACGGGAGGCAGCAGUAGGGAAUCUUCCGCAAUGGACGAAAGUCUGACGGAGCAACGCCGCGUGAGUGAUGAAGGCUUUCGGGUCGUAAAACUCUGUUGUUAGGGAAGAACAAGUGCUAGUUGAAUAAGCUGGCGCCUUGACGGUACCUAACCAGAAAGCCACGGCUAACUACGUGCCAGCAGCCGCCGCAG
RNAcentral lists this ribosomal RNA (515 nucleotides) under uncultured bacterium. RNAcentral describes it as "partial 16S ribosomal RNA". It matches the Rfam family "Bacterial small subunit ribosomal RNA", at positions 28 to 523 of the family's 1533-position model. The record is from RNAcentral.